Molecule: ribosomal RNA, 117 nt
Filed under: Sinocyclocheilus grahami
Lineage: Eukaryota; Metazoa; Chordata; Actinopteri; Cypriniformes; Cyprinidae
Source: RNAcentral
UGCCACAGCCAUAUCACCCUGCAGCCCAAGACUGGUUGCCCACUGAAGCUAAGCAGGGUUGAGCCUGGUCAAUACCUGGAUGGGAGACCUCCUGGGAAAACUAGGUUGCUGUUGGAA